Molecule: ribosomal RNA, 403 nt
Filed under: bacterium
Lineage: Bacteria
Description: partial 16S ribosomal RNA
Rfam family: Bacterial small subunit ribosomal RNA
Source: RNAcentral
UGGGGAAUAUUGCACAAUGGAGGGAACUCUGAUGCAGCGACGCCGCGUGAACGAAGAAGGCUUUCGAGUCGUAAAGUUCUUUUAUAUGGGAUGAUAAUGACGGUACCAUAAGAAGAAGCCCCGGCUAACUACGUGCCAGCAGCCGCGGUAAUACGUAGGGGGCUAGCGUUGUCCGGAAUCACUGGGCGUAAAGGGUUCGCAGGCGGAAAUGCAAGUCAGGUGUAAAAGGCAGUAGCUUAACUACUGUAAGCAUUUGAAACUGCAUAUCUUGAGAAGAGUAGAGGUAAGUGGAAUUUUUAGUGUAGCGGUGAAAUGCGUAGAUAUUAAAAAGAAUACCGGUGGCGAAGGCGACUUACUGGGCUCAUUCUGACGCUGAGGAACGAAAGCGUGGGUAGCAAACAGG